This 72-nucleotide transfer RNA is filed under the name Ovis aries (sheep). It matches the Rfam family "tRNA". Rfam says of the family: Transfer RNA (tRNA) molecules are approximately 80 nucleotides in length. Their secondary structure includes four short double-helical elements and three loops (D, anti-codon, and T loops). Lineage: Eukaryota; Metazoa; Chordata; Mammalia; Artiodactyla; Bovidae. The record is from Rfam by way of RNAcentral.
UCCCUGGUGGCUCAGCUGGUAAAGCAUCUGCCUGCAAUGCAGGAGACCUGAGUUCGAUCCCUGGGCUGGGAA